AUAGUCCAAUAUUUAUAUGCAGGUUGUGGUAUUUCUCAUCCCUCUUUUAGAUGAUAAAUACCCUUUGAUGUGGAGUGUUACUUACUACACUCUUUCUCUUAGCAAAUUCAUUAUUCAGGAUAUUACGUUAUGCAGUAUCUGAAGGACAUAAUUUCUUAUCUGGGCCUCCUCACCUCUAAGUUAGUGGGGGGAAAAAAAAAGGUUCAUACUCAAGCUAACAUAAACUCAUUGAGAUCAAAGUGGAUGAUCAGCUUUGUCAACACCCUCUUACAACACUAGGUUUGAUGUUACAAGGUCAGCACUGAGAGUAGUUUGUGUAGAGAACAUGUACAAGAUAUACAUAAGCAAGUUUUGGUUGUAUGCUUGUAUAUAUUUAUUCUAUGAGUGCAUACAUAAGCAAGUUUGGGUUGUAUAGUUAUAUAUGUAU
This is a long non-coding RNA of Vitis vinifera (wine grape), 427 nucleotides long. RefSeq lists it as uncharacterized. The record is from RefSeq and is a predicted model, not a curated record. NCBI's taxonomy places the organism in Eukaryota, Viridiplantae, Streptophyta, Magnoliopsida, Vitales, Vitaceae. The transcript has 4 exons.